Molecule: ribosomal RNA, 495 nt
Filed under: uncultured bacterium
Lineage: Bacteria
Description: partial 16S ribosomal RNA
Rfam family: Bacterial small subunit ribosomal RNA
Source: RNAcentral
GACGAACGCUGGCGGCGUGCCUAAUACAUGCAAGUUGAGCGCUGAAGGUUGGUACUUGUACCAACUGGAUGAGCAGCGAACGGGUGAGUAACGCGUGGGGAAUCUGCCUUUGAGCGGGGGAAACAUUUGGAAACGAAUGCUAAUACCGCAUAAAAACUUUAAACACAAGUUUUAAGUUUGAAAGAUGCAGUUGCAUCACUCAAAGAUGAUCCCGCGUUGUAUUAGCUAGUUGGUGAGGUAAAGGCUCACCAAGGCGAUGAUACAUAGCCGACCUGAGAGGGUGAUCGGCCACAUUGGGACUGAGACACGGCCCAAACUCCUACGGGAGGCAGCAGUAGGGAAUCUUCGGCAAUGGACGAAAGUCUGACCGAGCAACGCCGCGUGAGUGAAGAAGGUUUUCGGAUCGUAAAACUCUGUUGGUAGAGAAGAACGUUGGUGAGAGUGGAAAGCUCAUCAAGUGACGGUAACGACCCAGAAAGGGACGGCGAACUACGU